RNAcentral lists this ribosomal RNA (315 nucleotides) under Triticum aestivum (bread wheat). RNAcentral describes it as "partial small subunit ribosomal RNA". Lineage: Eukaryota; Viridiplantae; Streptophyta; Magnoliopsida; Poales; Poaceae. The record is from RNAcentral.
AUGCAAUGUGAAGCCCCGACUCCAGUCUGCAGCAACCAAGGGGUUCAGUUGCUCGGGUCUGUAUAUAUGUGCUGUAAUAAGUUGACUGCUACGUUUACAAAGGUAAAUGGAUAUCGUCUCAAAUUGCUAACCUUACUUGCUGAAUAUGUAUAUAUGUAUUAUUUUCUUGCCCACUCAGUGUUAGCAAUAUUUCUUGAGAGUAUUCUCCCUGCUUGCUACUUCUGGCCUGCACUUCAAGCAGGAAAGGGGUUAAUAUUCGGUAAGCCAGGUUGCAUUUCAUUGCUGACUUGGCCACUAAUCUGGUUAAUACAUUGA